AUGAACGCUAGUAGUAUGCUUAACACAUGCAAGUUGAACGAAGUUAUUUUCGUAGCGAACGGGUGAGUAACAUGCAGAAUGCUGCCUUUUAGUUUAGGAUAAAAAAAUUUAUAAUAUAAAUUUUUGAAUACUGGAUAUUUGUAAAGGUUAUAUUUGAAAAAAUAUUUCCGCUAAAAGAUGGGUCUGUGUAAGAUUAGGUAGUUGGUAAAUUUAACAGCUUACCAAGCCUUCGAUCUUUAGUUGGUCUUAGAGGAUGAUCAACCACACUGGAACUGAAAUAAGGUCCAGGCUGAUUUUUCGGCCAGCAGUGAGGAAUAUUGGACAAUGAACGAAAGUUUGAUCCAGCAAUACUAUCUGAAUGAAGACGGCUUUUUAGGUUGUAAAGUUCUUUCAUUAGGAAUGAUAAUGACAUUACCUAAAGAAGUAAGUCCCGGCAAAUACUCGUGCCAGCAGCCGCCGUAAAAC
This 465-nucleotide ribosomal RNA is filed under the name uncultured bacterium. Its description in RNAcentral is "bacterial SSU rRNA". It matches the Rfam family "Bacterial small subunit ribosomal RNA", at positions 30 to 526 of the family's 1533-position model. The record is from RNAcentral.